This 957-nucleotide ribosomal RNA is filed under the name uncultured bacterium. Its description in RNAcentral is "bacterial SSU rRNA". It matches the Rfam family "Bacterial small subunit ribosomal RNA", at positions 544 to 1501 of the family's 1533-position model. The record is from RNAcentral.
AUCGGAAUUACUGGGCGUAAAGCGUACGCAGGCGGUCUGUUAAGUCAGAUGUGAAAUCCCCGGGCUUAACCUGGGAACUGCAUUUGAAACUGGCAGGCUAGAGUCUCGUAGAGGGGGGUAGAAUUCCAGGUGUAGCGGUGAAAUGCGUAGAGAUCUGGAGGAAUACCGGUGGCGAAGGCGGCCCCCUGAACGAAGACUGACGCUCAGGUACGAAAGCGUGGGGAGCAAACAGGAUUAGAUACCCUGGUAGUCCACGCUGUAAACGAUGUCGAUUUGAAGGUUGUGGUCUUGAGCCGUGGCUUUCGGAGCUAACGCGUUAAAUCGACCGCCUGGGGAGUACGGCCGCAAGGUUAAAACUCAAAUGAAUUGACGGGGGCCCGCACAAGCGGUGGAGCAUGUGGUUUAAUUCGAUGCAACGCGAAGAACCUUACCUACUCUUGACAUCCAGAGAACUGAGCAGAGAUGCUUAGGUGCCUUCGGGAACUGUGAGACAGGUGCUGCAUGGCUGUCGUCAGCUCGUGUUGUGAAAUGUUGGGUUAAGUCCCGCAACGAGCGCAACCCUUAUCCUUUGUUGCCAGCGAUUCGGUCGGGAACUCAAAGGAGACUGCCGGUGAUAAACCGGAGGAAGGUGGGGAUGACGUCAAGUCAUCAUGGCCCUUACGAGUAGGGCUACACACGUGCUACAAUGGCGCAUACAAAGAGAAGCGAUCUCGCGAGAGUCAGCGGACCUCAUAAAGUGCGUCGUAGUCCGGAUUGGAGUCUGCAACUCGACUCCAUGAAGUCGGAAUCGCUAGUAAUCGUGGAUCAGAAUGCCACGGUGAAUACGUUCUCGGGCCUUGUACACACCGCCCGUCACACCAUGGGAGUGGGUUGCAAAAGAAGUAGGUAGCUUAACCUUAGGGAGGGCGUUUACCACUUUGUGAUUCAUGACUGGGGUGAAGUCGUAACAAGGUAACC